AACGCGAAGAACCUUACCUGGGCUUGACAUGUUCCUGACAGCCGUGGAAACACGGUCUCCCUUCGGGGCAGGAUCACAGGUGGUGCAUGGCUGUCGUCAGCUCGUGUCGUGAGAUGUUGGGUUAAGUCCCGCAACGAGCGCAACCCCCGUCGCAUGUUGCCAGCAUUUAGUUGGGGACUCAUGCGAGACCGCCGGUGACAAACCGGAGGAAGGUGGGGAUGACGUCAAGUCAUCAUGCCCCUUAUGUCCAGGGCUACACACGUGCUACAUUGGCGCGUACAGAGGGUUGCGAUACCGCGAGGUGGAGCGAAUCCCUUAAAGCGCGUCUCGGUUCGGAUUGCAGGCUGAAACCCGCCUGCAUGAAGGCGGAGUUGCUAGUAAUCGCGGAUCAGCACUGCCGCGGUGAAUACGUUCCCGGGCCUUGUA
This 426-nucleotide ribosomal RNA is filed under the name uncultured Actinomycetes bacterium. RNAcentral describes it as "bacterial SSU rRNA". It matches the Rfam family "Bacterial small subunit ribosomal RNA", at positions 958 to 1385 of the family's 1533-position model. The record is from RNAcentral. Lineage: Bacteria; Bacillati; Actinomycetota; Actinomycetes.